This 387-nucleotide ribosomal RNA is filed under the name uncultured bacterium. RNAcentral's name for it is "bacterial SSU rRNA". It matches the Rfam family "Bacterial small subunit ribosomal RNA", at positions 83 to 465 of the family's 1533-position model. The record is from RNAcentral.
GAAAGAAAAAGAGUGGCGAACGGGUGAGUAACACGUGGGUAACCUGCCCAUCAGAAGGGGAUAACACUUGGAAACAGGUGCUAAUACCGUAUAACACUAUUUUCCGCANGGAAGAAAGUUGAAAGGCGCUUUUGCGUCACUGAUGGAUGGACCCGCGGUGCAUUAGCUAGUUGGUGAGGUAACGGCUCACCAAGGCCACGAUGCAUAGCCGACCUGAGAGGGUGAUCGGCCACACUGGGACUGAGACACGGCCCAGACUCCUACGGGAGGCAGCAGUAGGGAAUCUUCGGCAAUGGACGAAAGUCUGACCGAGCAACGCCGCGUGAGUGAAGAAGGUUUUCGGAUCGUAAAACUCUGUUGUUAGAGAAGAACAAGGAUGAGAGUAGA